GAUGAACGCUGACAGAAUGCUUAACACAUGCAAGUCUACUUGAAUUGGGUUUUUUAACUUCGAUUUGGGUGGCGGACGGGUGAGUAACGCGUAAAGAACUUGCCUCACAGCUAGGGACAACAUUUGGAAACGAAUGCUAAUACCUGAUAUUAUGAUUAUAGGGCAUCCUAGAAUUAUGAAAGCUAUAUGCGCUGUGAGAGAGCUUUGCGUCCCAUUAGCUAGUUGGAGAGGUAACGGCUCACCAAGGCGAUGAUGGGUAGCCGGCCUGAGAGGGUGAACGGCCACAAGGGGACUGAGACACGGCCCUUACUCCUACGGGAGGCAGCAGUGGGGAAUAUUGGACAAUGGACCGAGAGUCUGAUCCAGCAAUUCUGUGUGCACGAUGACGUUUUUCGGAAUGUAAAGUGCUUUCAGUUGGGAAGAAAAAAAUGACGGUACCAACAGAAGAAGUGACGGCUAAAUACGUGCCAGCAGCCGCGGUAAUACGUAUGUCACGAGCGUUAUCCGGAUUUAUUGGGCGUAAAGCGCGUCUAGGUGGUUAUGUAAGUCUGAUGUGAAAAUGCAGGGCUCAACUCUGUAUUGCGUUGGAAACUGUGUAACUAGAGUACUGGAGAGGUAAGCGGAACUACAAGUGUAGAGGUGAAAUUCGUAGAUAUUGUAGGAAUGCGAUGGGAAGCCAGCUUACUGGACAGAUACUGACGCUGAAGCGCGAAAGCGUGGGUAGCAAACAGG
Molecule: ribosomal RNA, 732 nt
Filed under: uncultured Fusobacterium sp.
Lineage: Bacteria; Fusobacteriati; Fusobacteriota; Fusobacteriia; Fusobacteriales; Fusobacteriaceae
Description: bacterial SSU rRNA
Rfam family: Bacterial small subunit ribosomal RNA
Source: RNAcentral